RNAcentral lists this ribosomal RNA (106 nucleotides) under Rhodococcus wratislaviensis IFP 2016. RNAcentral describes it as "partial 16S ribosomal RNA". It matches the Rfam family "Bacterial small subunit ribosomal RNA", at positions 1 to 106 of the family's 1533-position model. The record is from RNAcentral. Lineage: Bacteria; Bacillati; Actinomycetota; Actinomycetes; Mycobacteriales; Nocardiaceae.
UCUUCAACGGAGAGUUUGAUCCUGGCUCAGGACGAACGCUGGCGGCGUGCUUAACACAUGCAAGUCGAGCGGUAAGGCCCUUCGGGGUACACGAGCGGCGAACGGG